Molecule: unclassified non-coding RNA, 304 nt
Filed under: fungal sp.
Lineage: Eukaryota; Fungi
Description: partial internal transcribed spacer region
Rfam family: Eukaryotic small subunit ribosomal RNA (bases 1-46)
Source: RNAcentral
AAGUCGUAACAAGGUUUCCGUAGGUGAACCUGCGGAAGGAUCAUUAUCGUGAAUCCACACGUAUUUACUUUUUUAUGGUGAAUCGUCUUUCAAUUGUUUUUGUUUUGUUUGGAUGAAUGGUCGAUUUGGUUUGAUCAUUCUUUUCAAACAAACAAACACAACACAUUUAAACUAUUAACCACUUGUAACCUUUUAAUUGUACUGAACAAAAAUAACUCGUUUUUGCUCUGUCUUCGGAUACGAACAAGACAAGUUACGAUACGAAAUUGCUGAACUACUCUUAGCAACGGAUAUCUUGGUUCUC